RNAcentral lists this ribosomal RNA (1710 nucleotides) under Triticum aestivum (bread wheat). RNAcentral describes it as "partial small subunit ribosomal RNA". Lineage: Eukaryota; Viridiplantae; Streptophyta; Magnoliopsida; Poales; Poaceae. The record is from RNAcentral.
CAACAAGAGAGGAUUAGCUUCAUUUUUACCAUGAUGAUGAUGAUGAUGGGUUUCUUUCUUCGUAUUAGCAGCAGCAGCAGCAGUCAACAGAGCAGCACAGGCGGCUAGAGUUUAAUCCCCACACGGCAUCAGAUGGCCGGCGCGGGCUCGUCGGACGCGGAGGCGGAGCUGCGGCGGGGCUUCAAGGCCCUGGCAGUGACGCGGCCGGACCCGGCGGGCGCGGUCUACGAGGUGCGCCUCAGCCGCCCGGCGCAGCUCAACGCGCUCAGCCCGGACUCCUUCGCGGAGAUCCCGCGCGCCAUGGCGCUGCUCGACCGCAUCCCCGCCGCGCGCGCCGUCGUGCUGUCCGCCGCGGGCCCCCACUUCUGCGCGGGCAUCGAGCUCGGCGGGCCCGGGAACCCGCUCACUGCGCCCCCCGCCCGCGGCGCCGACCCCACGGCCAUGGCCGAGGGGCUCCGCCGCGCGAUCCUGGGCAUGCAGGCCGCGCUCACCGCCGUCGAGCUGUGCCGGAAGCCCGUCAUCGCGGCCGUGCACGGCGCCUGCGUCGGCGGCGGCGUCGAACUGGUGGCCGCCUGCGACAUACGCUACUGCUCCAGGGACGCCACCUUCGUGCUCAAGGAGGUGGACAUGGCCAUCGUCGCCGACCUCGGCGCGCUGCAGCGCCUGCCGCGGAUCGUCGGCUACGGGAACGCCGCUGACCUCGCCCUCACCGGCCGCAGGAUCACCGCCGCGGAGGCCAAGGAGAUGGGGCUCGUCAGCAGGGUGUUCGAUUCAAAGCAGGAGCUGGAUGCCGGUGUUGCGAAGAUAGCCAAGGAAAUAUCAGAGAAGUCAGCAAAUGCAGUAUUGGGAACGAAGGCCGUUCUGCUGAGAAGCAGAGAUAUAACAGUAGAGCAGGGCCUGGAGCAUGUCGCGACUUGGAACUCAGGAAUGCUGAGAUCUAAUGACCUGUUGGAGGCCAUCAAAGCUUUCAUGGAGAAGCGGAAGCCUGUUUUCUCUAAGCUCUGAUGAUCUUCAUCACAGGCGAAAAUUUAUAUGUGAAUCCUAGCAACCUAAGAAUAAAAUGAGACGGUAGAAAGUAGACAAGAAAUACAAUUUCUGCAAUUUGGAAAACAAGGGCUCUUUUUGGUUGUAUCUUGUAUAUUUAUAUCAUAUAUAAAGCGAGGAUUUUCUGAAAUUUCCUUAGCAUUACUGAUGUCCAUAUUGAUUUGUUGUUAUGCUGGGAUGCCUGUAGAUUGACCAUUCCCACUUACAAGUGUGACGCGCUUUUGCAGAGAAUUGACGGCCUUCACAAUAGGCGUGUGAUUGACAUGAUCUGAGGGACCGAGGAAAGUUCGCUGAGCUUAUAUUUGGGUUGGGUGACCCUGGUCCAGUGAGCCUGCGAUGGCCCCAUAGCUUGUCUAGGUAUAAGUUGAAUUUCAGUCCUGAAAAGGUGAGUCUGGUACUCUAAUGUGUUCGCACUACCACCACCCCAUUUUGCUACCAUGUUAAUUUGUUAUUUAUUUAUAGCUCUGAUGUGUUUUAAGUUUGCCAAAUUUAGCUUACAACAUUUGUUUCAUUUCAGUGCUCACACUUUGUUGGCCAUUACUCUUUUGUGUUGAUAUCCGUUGAAAUUGCAUUUGUAAUAUAUUUGAGCAGGUAUUUGUGGGUUGGUUAGUAAUAGGACUUUAAAAAAAUAUAUUCAAAGAUAACCCUUGAAUAAGUGAGAGAAUG